AAAAAGGGCUUCUGUCGUGAGUGGCACAUAUAGGGCAGCUCGUUUGCUCUACGUGCGGAACUGACUUCAAGACAUUUCGGAAGCAUAAUUUUUGCUAGUGGGGCAGCUGGCGAUCGUUGGUCCUGGCGCCCCC
RNAcentral lists this small nuclear RNA (133 nucleotides) under Cervus hanglu yarkandensis (Yarkand deer). RNAcentral's name for it is "U11 spliceosomal RNA (ENSCHYG00000018578.1)". It matches the Rfam family "U11 spliceosomal RNA". The record is from Rfam by way of RNAcentral. Lineage: Eukaryota; Metazoa; Chordata; Mammalia; Artiodactyla; Cervidae.